UAAUGCUGAUUCAUGGAGUAGUUGUAUACUGUCAACUUAAUGUGACAGUCCCAUGAAGGGAAUCACACUACUGCUAUUUAUCCCUAGGAAGCAGCAAUGUUUCCUGUUGCCCUUGACACAUUUCCUUUGCCCUUAUGUUUACAAGGGGGAGAUAAGCACUUCCACCCAGCUAAGCCUGCAUCCAGAGAAUAGUUUCUGAGUCUUCCCUCGUCAUCAGUCUGGAGUAGCCAUGGCCUCC
Molecule: long non-coding RNA, 238 nt
Organism: Octopus sinensis (East Asian common octopus)
Lineage: Eukaryota; Metazoa; Mollusca; Cephalopoda; Octopoda; Octopodidae
Exons: 3
Source: RefSeq, a predicted model, not a curated record